Molecule: ribosomal RNA, 510 nt
Filed under: uncultured bacterium
Lineage: Bacteria
Description: bacterial SSU rRNA
Rfam family: Bacterial small subunit ribosomal RNA
Source: RNAcentral
UUAUGGCUCAGGAUGAACGCUAGCUACAGGCUUAACACAUGCAAGUCGAGGGGCAGCAUUGGAGUAGCAAUACUCAGAUGGCGACCGGCGCACGGGUGAGUAACACGUAUCCAACCUGCCGCUUACUCGGGGAUAGCCUUUCGAAAGAAAGAUUAAUACCCGAUGGUAUAAAGAGUUCGCAUGUUCUCUUUAUUAAAGAACUUCGGUAAGCGAUGGGGAUGCGUUCCAUUAGAUAGUUGGCGGGGUAACGGCCCACCAAGUCUACGAUGGAUAGGGGUUCUGAGAGGAAGGUCCCCCACAUUGGAACUGAGACACGGUCCAAACUCCUACGGGAGGCAGCAGUGAGGAAUAUUGGUCAAUGGACGAGAGUCUGAACCAGCCAAAAGUAGCGUGAAGGAUGACUGCCCUAUGGGUUGUAAACUUCUUUUAUAAGGGAAUAAAGUGAGGGACGUGUCCCUUUUUGUAUGUACCUUAUGAAUAAGGAUCGGCUAACUCCGUGCCAGCCGCCGC